RNAcentral lists this ribosomal RNA (1528 nucleotides) under uncultured Tintinnida. Its description in RNAcentral is "partial 18S ribosomal RNA". It matches the Rfam family "Eukaryotic small subunit ribosomal RNA", at positions 245 to 1831 of the family's 1831-position model. The record is from RNAcentral. Lineage: Eukaryota; Ciliophora; Spirotrichea; Tintinnida.
GGUGACUCAUAGUACUUAAUCGGAUCGCAUGGGCUUGUCCCGCGACAAACCAUUCAAGUUUCUGCCCCAUCAUGCUUUCGAUGGUAGUGUAUUGGACUACCAUGGCUUUCACGGGUAACGGAGGAUUAGGGUUCGAUUCCGGAGAGGGAGCCUGAGAAACGGCUACCACUUCCACGGAAGGCAGCAGGCGCGUAAAUUACCCAAUCCUGACUCAGGGAGGUAGUGACAAGAAAUAAUGGGUCGGGGUUCUGCCCCGGGACCGCAAUGAGACGAAUUUAGACCCCUUAUCGAGGACCAAUUGGAGGGCAAGUCUGGUGCCAGCAGCCGCGGUAAUUCCAGCUCCAAUAGCGUAUAUUAAAGUUGUUGCAGUUAAAAAGCUCGUAGUUGGAUUUCUGGUAGUGGGCAAGAGCUCGUUGCACGUUGCUCGCGUUCAUUGCCAUCCUUCUGUUAACCUAUCAGGGCAUUCUAUUGUCAGUUAGGGGCUCAGAUAUUUUACCUUGAGAAAAUUAGAGUGUUUCAGGCAGGCUUGUGCCCGGAUACAUUAGCAUGGAAUAAUGGAAUAGGACUUUAGCCUCUUCUGUUGGUCUGAGGGGUUGAAGUAAUGAUUAAUAGGGAUAGUUGGGGGCAUUAGUACUUAACUGUCAGAGGUGAAAUUCUCGGAUUUGUUAAAGACUAACUUAUGCGAAAGCAUUUGCCAAGGAUGUUUUCAUUAAUCAAGAACGAAAGUUAGGGGAUCAAAGACGAUCAGAUACCGUCCUAGUCUUAACCAUAAACUAUGCCGACUCGGGAUCGGGGGCCAGAGUUAACUGCCUUCGGCACCGUAUGAGAAAUCAAAGUCUUUGGGUUCUGGGGGGAGUAUGGUCGCAAGGCUGAAACUUAAAGGAAUUGACGGAAGGGCACCACCAGGCGUGGAGCUUGCGGCUCAAUUUGACUCAACACGGGGAAACUUACCAGGUCCAGACAUAGUGAGGAUUGACAGAUUGAUAGCUCUUUCUUGAUUCUGUGGGUGGUGGUGCAUGGCCGUUCUUAGUUGGUGGAGUGAUUUGUCUGGUUAAUUCCGUUAACGAACGAGACCUUAGCCUACUAAAUAGUCGCAACAAUUACGAUUGGCUGCGUCUUCUUAGAGGGACUUUGCAAGCAACUGCAAGGAAGUUUGAGGCAAUAACAGGUCUGUGAUGCCCUUAGAUGUCCUGGGCCGCACGCGUGCUACACUGACGCAUACAGCGAGUAUCACCAGCUCCGUGAGGCUGCUGGUAAUCAGCAAUAUGCGUCGUGCUGGGGAUAGAUCUUUGGAAUUUUUGAUCUUGAACGAGGAAUGCCUAGUAAGCGCAGGUCAUCAGCCUGCGUUGAUUAAGUCCCUGCCCUUUGUACACACCGCCCGUCGCUCCUACCGAUUUCGAGUGGUCCGGUGAACCCUUUGGACCGAGAGCGCCUCGUGAGCUUUGGAAAGUCGAGUAAACCACAUCACUUAGAGGAAGGACAAGUCGUAACAAGGUUUCCGUAGGUGAACCUGCGGAAGGAUCAUUAA